RNAcentral lists this long non-coding RNA (867 nucleotides) under Rosa chinensis. Its description in RNAcentral is "sRNA RchiOBHm_Chr5g0035971". Lineage: Eukaryota; Viridiplantae; Streptophyta; Magnoliopsida; Rosales; Rosaceae. The record is from RNAcentral.
GUUUCGAGUAUAAAUGGUAGGUUGUUCUCCCUGUUUUUAAAGCACCUGAAAACGACGAACCUGACGCACUUUUGGUUCUUCCUGAUCCUCAGAAACGUUCAAAAUUCUCCCCCCACGUCAACCCAGUUCAAAUCCAAUUCGAUUCACCAACCCCCCAAAGCCCUAAUUCCCAAUUUGUGAGCCAUCGCAAAUUAGGAAAGGUCGAAAUGACUUUGACCCACACGCAUUUAUACUCUCUGCGUCCGUCACUGUCUUUGUUUCUUGGCUUCAAUGGCUGCCAAAGCUUCGUGCUUUUUCUGCAAGGCCGAGAGUGAUCAGUUCGUUAAUGGCUGGGAGCUCAAGGAUGGGUCUUUCGCCCAGCUCUGCAAGAAAUGCGGUUUUUGGUAAAUGGUAACUGACUUAAUCCUUUGCAAAUUUAGUUUUGCUUAUGUGAAUGGUAUAUUUUGUGAAACUUUUCACAUGGAAGUGGAAGGCUAGAGAGACUGUGCUGUUUGUGGGAAGCCACUCCAUUGUGGGUGCAUUAUGUCACGCCACAAGUAUGCACCACUGGAUUUUGGAGGUGUAGGUUGCUCAAAAUGCUUACUAGAAAUUGAUCAAUCUAUUCCUUCAGGUCGAAUGACCAGAAUGCUGAAAGAAAUAGGACAGUGAUGUAUGGUGAAUUGUUUAUAUAGUGUAUAUGCCUUUUGAGAUUUUGUAUGUGUGGGUGCCUGCUGUAGUUGUCCAGUCUAUGCUUUUUGUGGGUAUUCCUUCGUUGGAAAAUAGUGUGCUUGGAUGCUUGAGGGCCAACAUUCAUAUCUGCCCAUAGCUGAUGCUCAUGUGCGGCUAUAUAAAAUAACUGAGCUACUUUUGAUUUGGAAGUCUCACUGC